UCCUCAGAAAAGCUCUCUCCCAGACUGCUUUUCCCCUGCUCCUUCCUCCACGGAAGAAUCCCUUUCCUCAGAACCUUUUUCUCAGCUGACAGCCGACAGAUAAAGUACAGCUCCGGCCAAGUCCACGGGCGGCUGUCAAGGGGCUACAGACCCACUGACUGGGCCGUUUUCAACUUUGAAUUUUAAAGAACAGAAAAAUGAUUUCCAGUUUCUUCUUCAGAGAUCACCGGUUGGUCUCUUGGGAGGACAGACAGCAAUUACCAAUGCCGGUUAAAUCAUAGAAAAGAAAAAGGGCUUUGUGGCCCGCACGCAUCUGCACGUUCCUGCCAAGGAAAAACACCUGCCUUUCAUUUCAAAGAGGCCUGCUGGCGCUGGUCCUGGUACUGCUGAUUCACCAGCCUCUGCUCGCAGAGGGGAAGCCAACGCCAAGAGAACCUUCACCCUGGGCCAGCGCACCUUCACCCUGGGCCAGCGCUCACCCGGUAGAGCUGAAGUAUCGAUACAAUCUGGCUCUUCCAGAGAGCCCUUGCAUGCGCCCUGCCCAGUCUUGACUGCAACCCAUGAUCUCCAGCACAAACACAUGCGCAGCACACACAUGCAGCCUCUCGAUUCCACCUGGCGUGGUCAAAGUAGAGUGAUGGGCUACAGCUGAUUUUUCUUCUGAGGAGCCUCUGGGACCACCCAUCUUUAGUUAACAGUGCACAUGUUAACAGUUGUCCAUAAAACUAGCGAUGCCCCAUCCUAAACUCAGAUAAUCCGAACAUAAGUAUCUGCUGUGCUCGGGAUCCUCUCCCCUGCCUGCUAAGGGGACUGCGGACAGCCAAUGCAAAGUCUCCUGUUCCCAAAUGAAUUCCCUCCUUUUCCUCCUAUGCUUAGGGGACUUUCCUCCUAUGCUUAGUGGUGUAGUGGUAACAAGUUGGGCUGUGAUCCAAAAGGUCAGCAGUUCAAAUCCAC
Long non-coding RNA from Echinops telfairi (small Madagascar hedgehog), 954 nucleotides. RefSeq lists it as uncharacterized. Lineage: Eukaryota; Metazoa; Chordata; Mammalia; Afrosoricida; Tenrecidae. The transcript has 3 exons. The record is from RefSeq and is a predicted model, not a curated record.